This 253-nucleotide ribosomal RNA is filed under the name uncultured bacterium. Its description in RNAcentral is "partial 16S ribosomal RNA". It matches the Rfam family "Bacterial small subunit ribosomal RNA", at positions 524 to 776 of the family's 1533-position model. The record is from RNAcentral.
UACGGAGGAUGCAAGCGUUAUCCGGAAUGAUUGGGCGUAAAGCGUCCGCAGGUGGCGAUGUAAGUCUGCUGUUAAAGAGUGAGGCUCAACCUCAUAAAAGCAGUGGAAACUACAUAGCUAGAGUACGUUCGGGGCAGAGGGAAUUCCUGGUGUAGCGGUGAAAUGCGUAGAGAUCAGGAAGAACACCGGUGGCGAAGGCGCUCUGCUAGGCCGUAACUGACACUGAGGGACGAAAGCUAGGGGAGCGAAUGGG